UGGGGGAUAUUGCACAAUGGGCGAAAGCCUGAUGCAGCGACGCCGCGUGGGGGAUGAAGGCUUUCGGGUUGUAAACCUCUUUCGCUAUCGAACAAGGCCCGCUUAGGGUGGGUUGAGGGUAGGUGGAGAAGAAGCGCCGGCUAACUACGUGCCAGCAGCCGCGGUAAUACGGAGGGUGCAAGCGUUAAUCGGAAUUACUGGGCGUAAAGCGCACGCAGGCGGUUUGUUAAGUCAGAUGUGAAAUCCCCGGGCUCAACCUGGGAACUGCAUCUGAUACUGGCAAGCUUGAGUCUCGUAGAGGGGGGUAGAAUUCCAGGUGUAGCGGUGAAAUGCGUAGAGAUCUGGAGGAAUACCGGUGGCGAAGGCGGCCCCCUGGACGAAGACUGACGCUCAGGUGCGAAAGCGUGGGGAGCAAACAGG
Molecule: ribosomal RNA, 420 nt
Filed under: Chloroflexota bacterium
Lineage: Bacteria; Bacillati; Chloroflexota
Description: Chloroflexi bacterium partial 16S ribosomal RNA
Rfam family: Bacterial small subunit ribosomal RNA
Source: RNAcentral